Molecule: long non-coding RNA, 251 nt
Filed under: Manihot esculenta (cassava)
Lineage: Eukaryota; Viridiplantae; Streptophyta; Magnoliopsida; Malpighiales; Euphorbiaceae
Description: long non-coding RNA (MESC_LNC012092)
Source: RNAcentral
GGUGGCUCCCGGGUGAAUGCUAUACCGCGUAUUAUGCGCUUCCCUCAUAAUGUCGGCCUUCAAACUGCUAUCAUCUGGUACACAUAACCUCUUACCAUGUCGAAGAAUCCCCUCACUAUCAAAUCUGAACUCUGCACUGUUGCCCGACUGAACAGUCCUGGCAAUCUUCACUAACUCGGGGUCUUCGUGCUGUUUCAGAGCCACUUGCUCUAGAAACACUGGUGUCACUCUCAUCUGUGCGAUCAAAGCAC